GUUUAGGGUUGCUAUGUAUUUUCAACAUGAGAACGCCAAACAGAUGUACUCACUGAACUCAAGACUAAAUUCAGAAUGCAUUUGUGCAUGUUCAUUUCAAUUAGUCUUCUGGUCAAUUUUUCAAAAAGUGCAACAUGAAAAAUUAAAAAAACAUAAAUUCAACUAAGAAGGCAAGAAAUUUUCUGAAGAUUAGUUUCAAUGUCUUGGAUGUUUCCUUUAUGUAUUCCAUUCAUUAUGAGUUAGAGAGUUAUGAAAAAGAUUUUAAACCAGUUAGAACUAGCUACUGAAAUUUUGGGUAAAUUAUUUGAAGCCAAUUACUCUGAUCAAUGAUAGAUUCAGAUACUUUGCAGCUCUAGACAGUAGUAAUUAUGAAGCCUCUCUUUAAACAAGAUGGUCCAUUUAGUUUCACAUUUCUAUCAUAUUUUUUUUAGAGUAGGAUUUUUUAAAGAGGACGCUGCUUUGGUAUUUCUGCUGGACUCGAUCACAUGCAGGACAUUUGAAAUUUUGAUUCACUAAUAUAAAAUAUUGUAGCCAGAAAUUUAAACAAAUUCAGAAUUUUCCUGGGCCUUCUGCUUUUGGUUACAAUUGUAUUCUAAUGUAUUAUAUAAUGAAUUUAAAAUAUAUUUCUUCUAAAGACAAAACAUCAAUGUGUUCUGGAGCCAUUUUGGUUCAUUUCAAUUUCUGAUUAGAAGAAGAGUAAUCAACAACUGCUAGGCUGCUCUUCUUGACAAUUAUGAUUUGUUUAUAAUAUUGAAGUUCAUUAUUCAGUCAGUUUUGGUUACAGAUGUGUAGAUUUUUUUUUUCUUUUUUGUUCAAAAUGAUAAUGAGUUGAGAAUACUUUACUAUGAUUAAUAAGACUGGAGAUGAUGUGUAUAAACAUGCAGGCUUCACAUUUUUUUCCCCAGGAAUAUAUUUACCUCAACCAACCUAAAAUGCAAUUUUUUGCAUCCUUUUGAGGAAUUUUCCUAAUGGAACCAUAUGCCUAUUUCUAAUUGUUUAAAAACUAGGAUUGGGUAAUUAUUCAAAUUGAUAUACUAUAUAUCAAUUACAAUUUAAUUCUUUCUUUCUUUUUUUUUCCAUAAUUUUCAGAUUUAUCAAUUAGCAAUGAUAUCAUAUAUCUUUGUACUGAAUAUUCAGUUAAU
Long non-coding RNA from Argiope bruennichi, 1142 nucleotides. RefSeq lists it as uncharacterized. The transcript is spliced from 6 exons. The record is from RefSeq and is a predicted model, not a curated record. Lineage: Eukaryota; Metazoa; Arthropoda; Arachnida; Araneae; Araneidae.